AGAGUUUGAUCCUGGCUCAGAACGAACGCUGGCGGCGUGGCUAAGACAUGCAAGUCGAACGGACUGUUCUAUUGGGUAACCGAGCGAACAGUUAGUGGCGAAAGGGUGAGGAAUGGAUAGGUAACGUACCCUGUGCUUCGGGAUAGCUCAUACCCGCAAGGGUAUUUCCGAAAGGGGCAUUAAUACCGAAUAACAUAACUUGUCGAAUGGCGAGUUAUCAAAGAUUUAUCGGCGUAGGAGCGGCCUAUUCCCUAUCAGCUAGUUGGUGAGGUAAUGGCCCACCAAGGCAAUGACGGGUAGCGGGACUGAGAGGUUGACCCGCCACAUCGGGACUGAGACACUGCCCGGACCUCCACGGAGGGCUGCAGUAACGAAUAUUGGGCAAUGAGCGAAAGCUUGACCCAGCGACGCCGCGUAUAGGAUGAAGUCCUUCGGGAUGUAAACUAUUGUCAGGGGUUAGAAAUUGCGUUUCGGCGCAUUGAUCGGCCCCAGAGGAAGUCACGGCUAACUUCGUGCCAGCAGCCGCGGUAAGACGAAGGUGGCAAGCGUUGUUCGGAAUUACUGGGCUUAAAGGGCGCGUAGGCGGAAUAUUAAGCGUUUUGUGAAAUCCCCCGGCUCAACCGGGGAAUCGCUUGGCGAACUGGUAUUCUUGAGGCAAGCAGGGGUGCAUGGAACUCUUGGUGGAGCGGUGGAAUGCGUAGAUAUCAAGAGGAACGCCAAUGGUGAAGACAGUGCACUGGGCUUGUUCUGACGCUGAGGCGCGAAAGCGUGGGGAUCAAACAGGAUUAGAUACCCUGGUAGUCCACGCCCUAAACAAUGUCUACUAGGUUGUGGGAGACUGACUCUCUCGCGGCCGAAGCAAAAGUGUUAAGUAGACCGCCUGGGGAGUACGGUCGCAAGGCUAAAACUCAAAGGAAUUGACGGGGGCUUACACAAGCGGUGGAGUAUGUGGAUUAAUUCGAAACAACGCGCAGAACCUUACCUGGGUUUGACAUGCUUGGAUGGUUGCCUGGAAACAGGUUAAUCUGCCCUUCGGGGUGAAACUUGCACAGGUGCUGCAUGGCUGUCGUCAGCUCGUGUCGUGAGAUGUCGGGUUAAGUCCUUUAACGAGCGAAACCCUUGUCGUUAGUUACCAUCAGGUCAAGCUGGGGACUCUAACGAGACUGCCGGUGUUAAACCGGAGGAAGGUGGGGAUGACGUCAAGUCCUCAUGGCCUUUAUGCCCAGGGCCUCACACGUACUACAAUGGCGACCACAAAGCGACGCGAUACCGCGAGGUGGAGCAAAUCGCAAAAAGGUCGCCCCAGUUCAGAUUGCAGGCUGCAACUCGCCUGCAUGAAGUCGGAAUCGCUAGUAAUCGCGUAUCAGCUACGACGCGGUGAAUAUGUUCCUGAGCCUUGUACACACCGCCCGUCAAGUGAUGGGAGCCGGUAGUACCCGAAGUCGGGUUGUCAACCGCAAGGAGACGCCUGCCGACGGUAAGAUCGGUGACUGGCACUAAGUCGUAACAAGGUA
This 1514-nucleotide ribosomal RNA is filed under the name metagenome. RNAcentral describes it as "bacterial SSU rRNA". It matches the Rfam family "Bacterial small subunit ribosomal RNA". The record is from RNAcentral.